ACCGGCUUGCUGGAAGGCGUCGAGCGGCGGACGGGUGAGUAACACUUAGGAAUCUACCUAGUAGUGGGGGAUAGCUCGGGGAAACUCGAAUUAAUACCGCAUACGACCUACGGGAGAAAGGGGGCAACUUGUUGCUCUCGCUAUUAGAUGAGCCUAAGUCGGAUUAGCUAGUUGGUGGGGUAAAGGCCUACCAAGGCGACGAUCUGUAGCUGGUCUGAGAGGAUGAUCAGCCACACCGGGACUGAGACACGGCCCGGACUCCUACGGGAGGCAGCAGUGGGGAAUAUUGGACAAUGGGGGCAACCCUGAUCCAGCCAUGCCGCGUGUGUGAAGAAGGCCUUUUGGUUGUAAAGCACUUUAAGCAGUGAAGAAGACCUAACGGUUAAUACCCGUUAGCGAUGACAUUAGCUGCAGAAUAAGCACCGGCUAACUCUGUGCCAGCAGCCGCGGUAAUACAGAGGGUGCAAGCGUUAAUCGGAAUUACUGGGCGUAAAGCGAGCGUAGGUGGCUUGAUAAGUCAGAUGUGAAAUCCCCGGGCUUAACCUGGGAACUGCAUCUGAUACUGUUAGGCUAGAAUAGGUGAGAGGAAGGUAGAAUUCCA
RNAcentral lists this ribosomal RNA (601 nucleotides) under Psychrobacter submarinus. RNAcentral's name for it is "bacterial SSU rRNA". It matches the Rfam family "Bacterial small subunit ribosomal RNA", at positions 74 to 671 of the family's 1533-position model. Lineage: Bacteria; Pseudomonadati; Pseudomonadota; Gammaproteobacteria; Moraxellales; Moraxellaceae. The record is from RNAcentral.